GUGAUUAGUUAAGUUCUUGAAACUCAAAGAAUUUGGCGGUAUUUUAUUCUUCCCAGAGGAACCUGCCCCUUAAUUGAUAGUUCACGAUUGACUAUACUUAAUUUAUUUGCUUGUAUAUCUCCGUUAUAAGAAUAUCUUUUUAGAGUUAAAAUUUUCUUAAUUUGGAUUGAAUAGUAUUUCAGGUCAAGGUGCAGCUUAUGGUUAAGUAGGAGGUGGGUUACAUAAAAUUUAUUUAUACGGUUUUUCUUAUGAAAUAUAAGGAAUUAAGGUGGAUUUGUUAGUAAAUUGAAUAUUAUUAUUUAAUUGAUUUAGCUCUAAAAUGUGU
Molecule: ribosomal RNA, 325 nt
Filed under: Tanaocerus koebelei
Lineage: Eukaryota; Metazoa; Arthropoda; Insecta; Orthoptera; Pneumoridae
Description: partial 12S ribosomal RNA
Source: RNAcentral